UACGGGGGGAGCAAGCGUUGUUCGGAUUUACUGGGCGUAAAGAGCGCGCAGGCGGUCGUUCAAGUCGCGUGUGAAAGCCCCCGGCUCAACUGGGGAGGGUCACGCGAUACUGAUCGACUCGAAGGCAGGAGAGGGUAGUGGAAUUCCCGGUGUAGUGGUGAAAUGCGUAGAUAUCGUAAGGAAGACCAGUGGCGAAGGCGGGUCUCUGGACAGUUCCUGACACUGAGACACGAAGGCCAGGGGAGCAAACGGG
Molecule: ribosomal RNA, 253 nt
Filed under: uncultured bacterium
Lineage: Bacteria
Description: partial 16S ribosomal RNA
Rfam family: Bacterial small subunit ribosomal RNA
Source: RNAcentral